This 629-nucleotide ribosomal RNA is filed under the name uncultured bacterium. RNAcentral describes it as "bacterial SSU rRNA". It matches the Rfam family "Bacterial small subunit ribosomal RNA", at positions 93 to 721 of the family's 1533-position model. The record is from RNAcentral.
UAGUGGCGCACGGGUGCGUAACACGUAUGCAACCUACCUUAUAGACGGGGAUAGCCUUUGGAAACGGAGAUUAAUACCCGAUAGUAUAUAUUGAUGGCAUCAUUAGUAUAUUAAAGAUUUAUUGCUAUAAGCUGGGCAUGCGUCCAAUUAGUUAGUUGGUUAGGUAAUGGCUGACCAAGACGAUGAUUGGUAGGGGAACUGAGAGGUUAAUCCCCCACACUGGCACUGAGAUACGGGCCAGACUCCUACGGGAGGCAGCAGUAGGGAAUAUUGGGCAAUGGAGGCAACUCUGACCCAGCCAUGCCGCGUGCAGGAUGAAGGCGUUAUGCGUUGUAAACUGCUUUUAUAUAGGAAGAAACAGACCUUGCGAGGUAAUUUGACGGUACUAUAUGAAUAAGCACCGGCUAACUCCGUGCCAGCAGCCGCGGUAAUACGGAGGGUGCAAGCGUUGUCCGGAUUUAUUGGGUUUAAAGGGUGCGUAGGCGGUUUAUUAAGUCAGUGGUGAAAGACGGUCGCUCAACGAUUGCAGUGCCAUUGAUACUGGUAGACUUGAGUGAGAUUGAGGUAGCUGGAAUGGAUAGCGUAGCGGUGAAAUGCAUAGAUAUUAUCCAGAACACCAAUUGCGUAGG